Molecule: non-coding RNA, 78 nt
Filed under: bovine gut metagenome
Description: TPP riboswitch (THI element)
Rfam family: TPP riboswitch aptamer (THI element) (bases 4-73)
About the family: Vitamin B(1) in its active form thiamin pyrophosphate (TPP) is an essential coenzyme that is synthesised by coupling of pyrimidine and thiazole moieties in bacteria. The previously detected thiamin-regulatory element, thi box was extended, resulting in a new, highly conserved RNA secondary structure, the THI element, which is widely distributed in eubacteria and also occurs in some archaea.
Source: RNAcentral
UCGAAAGGGGUGCUAGUUUACUGGCUGAGAUUAUACCCAUUGACCUGAUGCAGGUAAUGCUGUCGUAGGGAUUGACAC